Molecule: ribosomal RNA, 465 nt
Filed under: uncultured Glomus
Lineage: Eukaryota; Fungi; Glomeromycota; Glomeromycetes; Glomerales; Glomeraceae
Description: SSU rRNA
Rfam family: Eukaryotic small subunit ribosomal RNA
Source: RNAcentral
AGCAGCCGCGGUAAUUCCAGCUCCAAUAGCGUAUAUUAAAGUUGUUGCAGUUAAAAAGCUCGUAGUUGAAUUUCGGGAUCAAGGGAUCGGUCAUGCCUUGGUAUGUACUGGUCUUAUUGGUUCUCACCUUCUAAAGAACCAUGAUGUCAUUCAUUUGAUGUUAUGGGGAAUUAGGACUGUUACCUUGAAAAAUUAGAGUGUUUAAAGCAAGCUUACGCUUGAAUACAUUAGCAUGGAAUAAUGAAAUAGGACAUCAGAUUCUAUUUUGUUGGUUUCUAGGAUCGAUGUAAUGAUUAAUAGGGAUAGUUGGGGGCAUUAGUAUUCAAUUGUCAGAGGUGAAAUUCUUGGAUUUAUUGAAGACUAACUACUGCGAAAGCAUUUGCCAAGGAUGUUUUCAUUAAUCAAGAACGAAAGUUAGGGGAUCGAAGACGAUCAGAUACCGUCGUAGUCUUAACCAUAAACUAU